RNAcentral lists this ribosomal RNA (494 nucleotides) under uncultured bacterium. RNAcentral describes it as "partial 16S ribosomal RNA". It matches the Rfam family "Bacterial small subunit ribosomal RNA", at positions 28 to 507 of the family's 1533-position model. The record is from RNAcentral.
GACGAACGCUGGCGGCGUGCUUAACACAUGCAAGUCGAACGGAAAGGCCUGCUUUCCCUUGUGGAUUGCGGGUACUCGAGUGGCGAACGGGUGAGUAACACGUGAGUGAUCUGCCCCCAACUUGGGUAUAAGCCUGGGAAACUGGGUCUAAUUCCCGAUAGGACUGCAGGGUGGUGCCUGUGGUGGAAAACGAUUUUCUAGUGGUUGGGGAUGAGCUCGCGGCCUAUCAGCUUGUUGGUGGGGUAAUGGCCUACCAAGGCGGCGACGGGUAGCCGGCCUGGGAGGGUGGACGGCCACAUUGGGACGGGGAUACGGCCCAGACUCCUACGGGAGGCAGCAGUGGGGAAUAUUGCACAAUGGGCGGAAGCCUGAUGCAGCGACGCCGCGUGGGGGAUGACGGCCUUCGGGUUGUAAACUCCUUUCGACCGCGAGGAAGCCACCUGGUUGGAAGGGUGGUGACGGUAGUGGUAGAAGAAGCACCGGCUAACUACGUG